CAAAUUAAAGUUUUAUGACAACCCUGAGUUGUCAGAUGAUGGUUAGCUUUUUUUUACUAAGCAAUAUUUUUUAAUUAUGGUCUACACUUUUUUAAAAGACAUAAUACUAUUGUUCACUCAAUAGACUACAGUGUCGGAACCAAACCUGCAGGAUCUCUGAGCAGCUACCAUGUCGUGAGCUGCUCUACAGGAGAAAACGAAGAACCAUCUCAGGUCAACAGUCACUGGGGAACUAAAGCUUUCAGUUUGACCUCCCAUGAGAAACCAAAUCCUGCCA
Long non-coding RNA from Bubalus bubalis (water buffalo), 277 nucleotides. RefSeq lists it as uncharacterized. The record is from RefSeq and is a predicted model, not a curated record. NCBI's taxonomy places the organism in Eukaryota, Metazoa, Chordata, Mammalia, Artiodactyla, Bovidae. The transcript has 3 exons.